GCCCGAAUAGCUCAGUCGGUAGAGCAGGGGAUUGAAAAUCCCCGUGUCCUUGGUUCGAUUCCGAGUCCGGGCACCA
Molecule: transfer RNA, 76 nt
Filed under: Escherichia coli
Lineage: Bacteria; Pseudomonadati; Pseudomonadota; Gammaproteobacteria; Enterobacterales; Enterobacteriaceae
Also listed under: 5 other names
Description: tRNA-Phe
Rfam family: tRNA
About the family: Transfer RNA (tRNA) molecules are approximately 80 nucleotides in length. Their secondary structure includes four short double-helical elements and three loops (D, anti-codon, and T loops).
Source: RNAcentral